GAAAGAUCUCCCAUGCUCAUGGAUUGGCAGGAUUAAUUUAGUAAAAAUGGCCAUUUUACCAAAAGCAAUCUACAGAUUCAAUGCAAUCCCCAUCAAAAUACCAAUCCAAUUCUUCAAAGAGUUAGACAGAACAAUUUGCAAAUUCAUCUGGAAUAACAAAAAACCCAGGAUAGCUAAAGCUAUCCUCAACAAUAAAAGGACUUCAGGGGGAAUCACUAUCCCUGAACUCAAGCAGUAUUACAGAGCAAUAGUGAUAAAAACUGCAUGGUAUUGGUACAGAGACAGACAGAUAGACCAAUGGAACAGAACUGAAGACCCAGAAAUG
RNAcentral lists this long non-coding RNA (325 nucleotides) under Rattus norvegicus (Norway rat). RNAcentral describes it as "long non-coding RNA NONRATT013457". Lineage: Eukaryota; Metazoa; Chordata; Mammalia; Rodentia; Muridae. The record is from RNAcentral.